AAACAAAUCAUUUUUUUUUUAAAUUAAUGACAAGUCGUCUCAGUGCAACACUUGGAAUAAUAUUAUUAUUGUGUAAAGGAGACUUUCAUUAUACUUUGCAACGCGUUUCUCGCUUCAAUGAAGUCCAACUCUCAUUUGGUGCCGCUUCUCCCGCCCCCCCCGCCAUACCCCUUCAUAAAUCAACCUCCGGAGACGAGAUGGUGACUCACCGCCACGAAGAAUGGCAAAGCGCAUCGAGUGGACACUCAUAAUUUUCCAUCUGAGGGAGAGGCAGCAUCCGUCUUCUUUCGCAUCAGACUCACAAGACUGAAGACAAGCGAGCACAGCUGGAGGUUAAGUGCAGGUGACGACACGACGAACACUUCCAUCCGUCGUUGUCAGUUCUCGGACGAGAUGUGUCGUUGGCAAAAGAGAGGGGAAGGGCUUUGUUAUUUAGCAUGUGCGGGUGUUGUCACUGUAGGAGUGCGCGACGCCAGCAGCUGUGGUGGGGGGUGGGAGAGGGCUAAUCACGGCCCCGGUGGGCCCCACGCAAGCGAAACUGCAGCACUUUAAAUCUUCUCAACACCUUUAAUGGCAGCCCCCUCAUUAAAAUUUACGUGUCAAAUCACAAGAUUGAUUUCUCCCUCGUAACGCUGCGGCAAUCGUAGUUCAUGGAAAUGGUGUUAUUUUAUGCAAUCGGUGGGCCCCAGACGCCGUCAAGAGGUCUUAUUUCAAGCAUAAAAAUUGCAUUUUUGGAAAGGGUACAUAGCUAAUUAGCCCCAUGUGGGAUGAAAGGCGUUCCGUUGCCAUGGGACUUAUCAAAUUGCGUACAUGGUGAUUAUGAUCAAUGAUGAUGAAGCUGUACCCCGGGAAUGACCUGAAAUUCAAUUUAAUGCUCUUAUUUUGAAACAUAAACAGGUGGGAAAAGAUGAUUAAUAAAUGUAAGAAAAACUGUUAUUGCUAGAACUAAGU
Long non-coding RNA from Syngnathoides biaculeatus (alligator pipefish), 951 nucleotides. RefSeq lists it as uncharacterized. NCBI's taxonomy places the organism in Eukaryota, Metazoa, Chordata, Actinopteri, Syngnathiformes, Syngnathidae. The transcript has 3 exons. The record is from RefSeq and is a predicted model, not a curated record.